GACAAACGCUGGCGGCGUGCCUAACACAUGCAAGUCGAGCGUGAAGGGAGCUUCGGCUCCUGGAAAGCGGCGAACGGGUGAGUAACACGUGGGCAACCUGCCUCAAGGACUGGGAUAACUCCGGGAAACCGGGGCUAAUACCGGGCGAUGUCGUCUGGCGCAAGCCGGCCGACCAAAUGGUAGCUUCGGCCUCCGCCUUGAGAUGGGCCCGCGUCCUAUCAGCUUGUUGGUGAGGUAACGGCUCACCAAGGCUACGACGGGUAGCUGGUCUGAGAGGAUGAUCAGCCACACUGGGACUGAGAUACGGCCCAGACUCCUACGGGAGGCAG
This 329-nucleotide ribosomal RNA is filed under the name uncultured Actinomycetes bacterium. RNAcentral's name for it is "bacterial SSU rRNA". It matches the Rfam family "Bacterial small subunit ribosomal RNA", at positions 28 to 351 of the family's 1533-position model. Lineage: Bacteria; Bacillati; Actinomycetota; Actinomycetes. The record is from RNAcentral.